Molecule: transfer RNA, 68 nt
Filed under: marine eukaryotic metagenome
Rfam family: tRNA
About the family: Transfer RNA (tRNA) molecules are approximately 80 nucleotides in length. Their secondary structure includes four short double-helical elements and three loops (D, anti-codon, and T loops).
Source: RNAcentral
CCCAUAGCUCAAUUGGUUAGAGCAACGGACUCAUAAUCCGCAGGUUCGGGGUUCAAGUCCCUGUGGGC